Molecule: long non-coding RNA, 588 nt
Filed under: Carica papaya (papaya)
Lineage: Eukaryota; Viridiplantae; Streptophyta; Magnoliopsida; Brassicales; Caricaceae
Description: long non-coding RNA (CPAP_LNC013043)
Source: RNAcentral
UGAAUCAUAACAGAAAGUAAAGACAGAGCAGUGUAACAUAAAAUAGUCAAGGAUACAACUAGCCAAUGUUAUAGAAACUAGUUAAACCAACUAAAAAGCAUGGCAAUGUAAAGACAGAAUAAUGAGAAACAAAUCAAGAGAACUAAUAAAGCAUGGGAUAUCAAGCAACUGUUCUACCCAUGUCAUUGAGUGGUUAAAUUUUAUUGACGUCUUUUACAGAUUUUUGCGUGAAACCCUUCUAACUUAUAUCAACUGAGGAAAAAAGGGAUCCCCAACUAUAACUGUGAAUGGGCAAAUAGAUUCAUUUUCAUAUCAGAUAAUUUCAUAGAUAAACUAAUGACUAUGAGUGUACUUCACCACUAUAGCUCCUAUAGAUCAUAUUGCGAAUUCACUUCUCGUGAGAGGGAAUGCUAAUACGAUUCAUAGGGAGUGAUUCACCAAUAGAUUCAAAUAUAGAUUCAGGUAUAGAAGCACAAAUUUAGAAUGCAGUGGGAUUCCAAUAACAUAUCUCGCCCUAAAGAGCCACUAUACCCAUAGUUGCGAUCAAGUCAUCUUCUCGAGUUGAGGCCCAAUAGAAUGACCCUCUCU